RNAcentral lists this unclassified non-coding RNA (202 nucleotides) under Hevea brasiliensis (rubber tree). Lineage: Eukaryota; Viridiplantae; Streptophyta; Magnoliopsida; Malpighiales; Euphorbiaceae. The record is from RNAcentral.
UACAUCAUUUGCUCGUGCACCUGUUGUUGGGUUCUGGGAUUUGGAAAUUUUGGAUGAUGAUUUAAAGGGUGAAGCAGAGUAGAUUGAUGGGAGUGGUUUUAGAUUUGGGGAAAAGCUGCGGAAGAUGAAAGACUUUGUUAAGGAAAUGGAGAGCUGAAAGGGAAGCUGAUUUGUGAAGGCCAUUGGUGCCGGAAAUCUUGAA